Molecule: ribosomal RNA, 452 nt
Filed under: Ucides cordatus
Lineage: Eukaryota; Metazoa; Arthropoda; Malacostraca; Decapoda; Ocypodidae
Description: partial 16S ribosomal RNA
Rfam family: Bacterial large subunit ribosomal RNA
Source: RNAcentral
CUGCCCACUGAUAAUAGUGUUUUAAAGGGCCGCGGUAAUUUGACCGUGCAAAGGUAGCAUAAUCGUUAGUUUUUUAAUUGGAAUCUUGUAUGAAUGGUUUGACAAAAGAAAAUCUGUCUCUAUCUUUUUCUUUGAAUUUAACUUUUAAGUGAAAAGGCUUAAAUAGUUUAAAAAGACGAUAAGACCCUAUAAAGCUUUAUAAAUUGUUUGUUAUUAAGCUGAAUUGGUAAAUAAUAGUUUAGUAAGGGAAGUUUAUUUUAUUGGGGUGAUAGUGGUAAAAUGUUUAUUAACUGUUAAAAUUUUAAGACAAAUAUAGUUGAGUAAAGUUGUAUAAAUUGAUCCUGAAAUACAGAUUAAAAGUUUAAGUUACUUUAGGGAUAACAGCGUUAUUUUUUUUGAGAGUUCAUAUCGAAAAAAAAGUUUGCGACCUCGAUGUUGAAUUAAAAUGUCUG